Molecule: long non-coding RNA, 860 nt
Organism: Mastomys coucha (southern multimammate mouse)
Lineage: Eukaryota; Metazoa; Chordata; Mammalia; Rodentia; Muridae
Exons: 2
Source: RefSeq, a predicted model, not a curated record
UAAACCUCGUCCUGUGGAAAACUUCAUUUCUCUGGGACAGGGAGGCAAAUCUCAUCCUCCGAAACCAUCACCUCACAGACCUCAAGGACACUUGCUUUCACAGAGAGCACAUCUACACGUCCAUGGUGGCUUUUCUCCAAUGGAGAAAAUCAAGGCUUGGUUUUGUUCUUAGUAGGAAUAGCUAUAUGCACAGUUAUGUCAUGAUGGGGAUGCACUUUGCAAAUGUGUUGCCAGAAGAUUUUAGCAUUGUGUGAGUAUCACAGAAUGCAUUAUGACAUCAUGGGGGGAGGGAAGGUCUUAUGAGGCCAGCGGUACAUGCAGUCCAUUGUUGGUUGAAACACUGUCAUGAAAUGCAUGGCUUUAUAUGGAUAUGUGUGUACUGAAAUGUCACAAAGCCUAUCAUCCAGCCUAAAAGUGGGCUGAACACUCGGCUCCUUCCCCCAUACUGCAACUGUCUGUGGAUCUAGAAGGUUCUGGAAAAUGGCUUCCUCCUCAGAUGUCCAACACGCAUUUGCUGAAAACUUUUGGAGACAUUCUUCUUUCAGGCAAUGUGACUCAUCCCCAGCCCGGCAGCCAGAACAACAAGGAGGACCCACAGAGAAGCUGACCAGCAGAAGGCAGCUGAACCCAAGAAUGGCUGACCCUCACUCUCCCUGAGACAGACAGUUCCAGCAUGCAGAAGCAAAGCUUCUUCUGCAGUUGGCUUUCCUGUGCCACAUAAUCAUGACUCAGCCUCUCUCUGACAGCUCCCAGGUUUACCGGCCUAAUGGCAGCUCUCCCACAAACAUAGACGGGCCUGCUUCUUCUCUCCCUCUCUACUUCUAUGUGGGUCUGGCCCAUAAAACUCACUUCAGUACCAA